Long non-coding RNA from Thunnus maccoyii (southern bluefin tuna), 3246 nucleotides. RefSeq lists it as uncharacterized. The transcript is spliced from 4 exons. NCBI's taxonomy places the organism in Eukaryota, Metazoa, Chordata, Actinopteri, Scombriformes, Scombridae. The record is from RefSeq and is a predicted model, not a curated record.
GAUCAACUGAACACCCUAAUCCCCAUUUAAAUAUGUUGACUAGAGUUAAAUGUGCAAUAUAACCUUCAUGGGAGAGUACACCUUUGCAUAUUUGAUUGAGGAAUUUAAAACUUGACUGACCUCAAGGUAAACUGUGAUAAGAUGCUUCUGUCUCUGCUAUACCCCUAGACCAGAGAGACCUUGGUGAUUUCAUUCACAUUAAAUUGUGUGCACAGAUUAAGAGAUGAUGAGGAGAUGUUCCUCCCCUAGUGGCUAAAGGAUAUACAAGCUUAUUCAGCAGGGACAUAUGAACAACCAGAAAAAACUGGACUUCUAUAAAAAUUCUUCAAACUGAUUUCAGUACUUCUACUGUCUCUUGAAAUGCCAAGAGUUUGUCUUUAGACCUAAGUGUGUUCCUAAAUAAAUAUUUAGAUUUUACUCCCACUUUUAUAACCCUUACUUAAGCUGGCAUAAACAAUGCCUUACCCACCAAACAACUCCCGCAAAGCAACAGAUAAGAUGACUGCAAUAUUAAGGAUGUACACAGCAAAUAUGCCAGUGUUAUUUUUUCAGCGUCAGUGUUAAUUAACUGGGGUUACUGUUGUUUUUACUCAGAAUUGAUCAAAACCAACACUCAAAGUCGUCAGUUACUCCAAGUGUAAGAGUGGACUUUGGUCGUCCUGAGAAUUACUCUGAAAUUACACCAGGGCUCAUUCAAUUGGCCACACCCAGCCACCGGUGAGCUGAGCCUGCGCGCCCACUUGACCUUGUCAGACACACAGCCUGGACUUCGGCCAGAUUUCAUCUUGCAGCGUUGGUAGGGCAGGUUGUUUACUGACUGAGGGGUUGGUGGUUCGAAUCCCAGCUCUGCUGUCCACAUAUUGGUGACCUUGGGCAACACACUGAAUCCGAAAUCGCUUAGGAAAUACAGAUGAAAAUGAGGAUUCCUGCUAUCUCUGGUGUAUUUAUAGUUCAUCACGUAUGCUCUGCUCAUUUAUGCACACUUGUCCCUCUCAAAUAAACAAAUCAUAUUGACCUUUCUUCUGUUUUAGUGUUGGCAAAAUUCAAUUUGCCAGUUUCUGCUUCCUUGAGCCUGAAGGAUUCUGCAGGCAUGGAAGUGGAUUUGGACAUAUUUGAUGAACUCUUGAAGUCAUCUUAGGUGUCUUUCAAGGCUGAAGAGUGUAAUGGUGCUGAGGAGGAUGAGAGUGGUCACCAUCCCAUGCAUCCCAGGGGUCAUCAUCAGGUUCUGACUUGACAGUAAUACUGGAAUCUGGUGAACAUACUAGUGGCUGACAUGGUGGAGAGUCAUGGGUAAGUGAAUAUGCACUUGCAAUAACAGGUUGUUGUUGUUGUUUUUACCUCCAAAAGCCUCUUUUACCUCUGUUGCAUUUUUGGGGGGAUGAAUGAUGCUGUUCUCCCAACAUUGCAGGGUAGACUUAACAGCACGUGUGUGCUGAUGCUGGAGUCGUUCCGUGACGGCGCCAUCUUGGCUAUGUCAUGUGAUCAUGUCUUUACCUGUCAGCCAAACUUCAGGAAAUGAUAGAGCUGGUGCAAGUAGUAAUCCACAUAGUCUAUGAAUUUCCUUGUUUGGCUAGAAAUGCAAUCUUUAUUGCGGACUGCAUAGGAGUGUCCAAGAGGGCACUCACCAGCUAACAGAUUAACAUUUUUUCUUGAAAUCAACAGGAACAUUUCUAUGAUCACCAGAGUGGUGGUAAGUGUAAAUUGGACAGUAGAUUGAACACAACAUCGUUGUGUUUUUGGCCCCUUUACUACAAAUCACAUACUGCACCUUACUGCUGACCAUUUUAAACCCACGGUGUAAUUUUGGAAAACAAACUUCAGUAUGGUGUGACACUUGAAAGUUAUUCCUAUAGUGUCAAUUCUAAUUCUUCAGCAUGGCAUUCUGCAGAGUGGGACUCUGAGAUGGCCGCCAUCCUUCUGCUGCUUCACCUCUUACAUCCAGCCUGUAAGGGCAAGAAGACUGGCAAGAUUAGCGCAUCAGAUGCUGCUGGACGCCUGAUCAAGUUCAUGAAGGUGGGGAAUAGCAUGGAGACCUUCCUCAAGGAAACUGGCCUCAAAUAGCCCUUCUGUGUGUCGGAGAAAGGAGCAACAGCAUCCAGGAUUUCCACAUCAUCCUGGACCAGAAGGCCAUUCCCUGCAGGAUGCAGACCACAGUUGCCGCCUUCGACAAGCUCUUCAAGGCACAUUUUACUUUCGCUGUGCCGUAUGAUGAUGCGCUGUCCAGCUUCUUCACAUUCAUCCAGAGCACCGUGUAUGGGAUCAAUGCGGGCAGUGUGAAGGAGAGUCCCCGGGUCAAGGAAAUCAGAGCAAGGCUUCUUCACUGUGCAGUUUGAAGAACAACACAUCUUUGACCUGAAGUAUGUGCACCUGUUACAUUUGCAAGGCACACCACACAUUUUGUUCAGUGAUAUUCAGAUAUUUGAAGUUCCAGCAUGGAUUGUUGCCUGCAAAGUCUUUGCGCUUGAAAUGUGGAGAGCCUGAAUGUUCUUUUGUUUUCUGCACAUACUCUGGUUACCAACGUCACUUAUCUCGAGCACAUGGGGACUGUCUUGAUCCAGAUCCUGUCGAUUUUGAGAUUGAGCAUGUAGCUGACCCUGUAGCUGAGCCUAUAGCUGGACCAUGAGAUGAGAUUUGAAGGAAAGCACAACUUCUUUAAAAAGUCUAUUAAAAAUUUUAAAAACGUUGCCAUGACACUGGCUAAGAAACAUCAGGAAGAGUUAGCAUCUCAUUUCGAGAACUCUAAGUUUAAAAGAUUAAAGUUUGGUCCCAUAAGUCAAGUCUUGGUCAGCAGUUUAGAGGGUGGAGAGGCACUGAAUGAAUCUUUUGAUGUAUUGACUGUUUCCACCACCCCUUGGGUCAAAAGCUAUGGCACAGAGUAUCAGGUGGGGAUGUAUGUGGUUACUGGAGUUGAAAAUGAGAUGCCUUUGUUCAACAGGAUUGACAGUAUGAUUAUUAGAGACGACAAUGCUUAUCUUUUAAUUUGUAAAGUCUCAACCCUUUUCUUUGAUGAUCAUUUCAAUACAUUUGCUAUUGAGGAGAACACUGGGGUUUUCACAGUAAUAUCUGUAAACGACCUGUUACAUUACAGACCUUGUGAUAGGCAAUUUUCAUAUGACACCGAUGACCAAGUGUACCUUGUUCCAUACUGUAUUUAUGUAUGAUGAAUCCAUGCAGUCUGUUAUGCUGUCUGUUGUGAAAGUGAUGUGGUGGACUUUUAAUGAUAAUAUAUUUUUCUUAAGAAAUUGU